Molecule: ribosomal RNA, 255 nt
Filed under: uncultured bacterium
Lineage: Bacteria
Description: partial 16S ribosomal RNA
Rfam family: Bacterial small subunit ribosomal RNA
Source: RNAcentral
UACGAAGGGGGCUAGCGUUGCUCGGAAUCACUGGGCGUAAAGGGCGCGUAGGCGGACUCUUAAGUCGGGGGUGAAAGCCCAGGGCUCAACCCUGGAAUUGCCUUCGAUACUGAGAGUCUUGAGUUCGGAAGAGGUUGGUGGAACUGCGAGUGUAGAGGUGAAAUUCGUAGAUAUUCGCAAGAACACCAGUGGCGAAGGCGGCCAACUGGGUCCGAUACUGACGCUGAGGCGCGAAAGGCGUGGGGAGCAAACAGG